This 1410-nucleotide ribosomal RNA is filed under the name uncultured Cyanobacterium sp. RNAcentral's name for it is "bacterial SSU rRNA". It matches the Rfam family "Bacterial small subunit ribosomal RNA". The record is from RNAcentral. Lineage: Bacteria; Bacillati; Cyanobacteriota; Cyanophyceae; Chroococcales; Geminocystaceae.
UAACACAUGCAAGUCGAACGGUCUUUUAGGAGACAGUGGCGGACGGGUGAGUAACGCGUAAGAAUCUACCCUCAGGUCGGGGACAACCACUGGAAACGGUGGCUAAUACCGGAUGUGCCGAGAGGUGAAAGGCUUGCUGCCUGGGGAAGAGCUUGCGUCUGAUUAGCUAGUUGGUAGUGUAAGAGACUACCAAGGCGACGAUCAGUAGCUGGUCUGAGAGGAUGAUCAGCCACACUGGGACUGAGACACGGCCCAGACUCCUACGGGAGGCAGCAGUGGGGAAUUUUCCGCAAUGGGCGAAAGCCUGACGGAGCAAUACCGCGUGAGGGAGGAAGGCUCUUGGGUUGUAAACCUCUUUUCUCAGGGAAGAAAAAAAUGACGGUACCUGAGGAAUAAGCAUCGGCUAACUCCGUGCCAGCAGCCGCGGUAAUACGGAGGAUGCAAGCGUUAUCCGGAAUGAUUGGGCGUAAAGGGUCCGCAGGUGGCAUUGUAAGUCUGCUGUUAAAGAGUUUGGCUCAACCAAAUAAAAGCAGUGGAAACUACAAAGCUAGAGUUUGGUCGGGGCAGAGGGAAUUCCUGGUGUAGCGGUGAAAUGCGUAGAUAUCAGGAAGAACACCAGUGGCGAAGGCGCUCUGCUAGGCCGAGACUGACACUGAGGGACGAAAGCUAGGGGAGCGAAUGGGAUUAGAUACCCCAGUAGUCCUAGCCGUAAACGAUGGAUACUAGGCGUAGCUCGUAUCGACCCGAGCUGUGCCGGAGCUAACGCGUUAAGUAUCCCGCCUGGGGAGUACGCAGGCAACUGUGAAACUCAAAGGAAUUGACGGGGGCCCGCACAAGCGGUGGAGUAUGUGGUUUAAUUCGAUGCAACGCGAAGAACCUUACCAAGGCUUGACAUGUCACGAAUCCUGUGGAAACAUAGGAGUGCCUUCGGGAGCGUGAACACAGGUGGUGCAUGGCUGUCGUCAGCUCGUGUCGUGAGAUGUUGGGUUAAGUCCCGCAACGAGCGCAACCCUCGUUUUUAGUUGCCAGCAUUAAGUUGGGCACUCUAGAGAGACUGCCGGUGACAAACCGGAGGAAGGUGGGGAUGACGUCAAGUCAGCAUGCCCCUUACGUCUUGGGCUACACACGUACUACAAUGCUACGGACAAAGGGCAGCUACACAGCGAUGUGAUGCGAAUCUCGGAAACCGUAGCUCAGUUCAGAUCGAAGGCUGCAACUCGCCUUCGUGAAGGAGGAAUCGCUAGUAAUUGCAGGUCAGCAUACUGCAGUGAAUUCGUUCCCGGGCCUUGUACACACCGCCCGUCACACCAUGGAAGUUGGUCACGCCCGAAGUCGUUACCCCAACCGAAAGGGGGGGGAUGCCUAAGGUAGGACUGAUGACUGGGGUGAAGUCGUAACAAGGUAGCCGUA